UCUUGGUCAUUUAGAGGAAGUAAAAGUCGUAACAAGGUUUCCGUAGGUGAACCUGCGGAAGGAUCAUUAAUGAAUUUUGCACGAUUAGAGUUGAGCUGGUUAACCUAGUUAACAAGUGCUCAUUCUAAUUGACAAAUCCAAUCAUUAUUUAACACCUGUGAACUUAUCUAUUAUAAACAUUAUAAUAUGUCAUUGGAACGUUUGAUUAUAAUAAGUUAAUACAACUUUCAACAACGGAUCUCUUGGCUCUCGCAUCGAUGAAGAACGCAGCGAAAUGCGAUAAGUAAUGUGAAUUGCAGAAUUCAGUGAAUCAUCAAAUCUUUGAACGCACCUUGCGCUCCCUGGUAUUCCGGGGAGCAUGCCUGUUUGAGUGUCGUGAAGUCAUCAUGGUCAUGAUCUUUAAUUAAUCAUGGCUUGGAUUUGGAGGUUAUGUUGGCUUUCAGUCGACUCCUCUUAAAUGCAUUAGCUCAGUGUUUAAUGCUUAGAGCGGUUCACAGUGUGAUAAAUUAUCUACACUUCAACUAAUCCAAGUUAGCUGGCUUCUAAUAGAUCCUUUGUGAUCACUUUGUGUAUUUGACCUCAAAUCAGGUAGGACUACCCGCUGAACUUAAGCAUAUCAAUAAGCGGAGGAA
This 632-nucleotide ribosomal RNA is filed under the name uncultured fungus. Its description in RNAcentral is "eukaryotic LSU rRNA". The stretch from base 223 to 376 matches the Rfam family "5.8S ribosomal RNA". Lineage: Eukaryota; Fungi. The record is from RNAcentral.